This 456-nucleotide ribosomal RNA is filed under the name Laccophilus pallescens. Its description in RNAcentral is "partial 16S ribosomal RNA". It matches the Rfam family "Bacterial large subunit ribosomal RNA", at positions 1806 to 2534 of the family's 2925-position model. Lineage: Eukaryota; Metazoa; Arthropoda; Insecta; Coleoptera; Dytiscidae. The record is from RNAcentral.
AACAAAAACAUGUCCUUUAGAUAAUAAUUUAAGGUCUAACCUGCCCAAUGAUUAAAUUAAAUGGCCGCAGUAUUUUGACUGUGCAAAGGUAGCAUAAUCAUUAGUUUUUUAAUUGAAAGCUAGAAUGAAUGGUUGAACGAGAAAAAAUCUGUCUUUAAUUAUUAAUAUGAAUUUAAUUUUUUAGUUAAAAAGCUAAAAUUAUAUUAAAAGACGAGAAGACCCUAUAGAUCUUUAUAAUAAUAUAAUAAUUUUUUUUUAGAUUUAAUUAAUUUUUUAUUAGAAUUAUUAUUUUAUUGGGGUAAUAAAAAGAUUUAAAUAAUUCUUUUUUAUUUUUAAAUAUUUAAUAAUAAAAAAAAGAUCCAUUAAUAAUGAAAAAUGAUUAAGUUACCUUAGGGAUAACAGCGUAAUUUUUUUAGAGAGUUCAUAUCGAUAAAAAAGUUUGCGACCUCGAUGUUG